Non-coding RNA from Gossypium hirsutum (cotton), 73 nucleotides. Lineage: Eukaryota; Viridiplantae; Streptophyta; Magnoliopsida; Malvales; Malvaceae. The record is from Rfam.
GCGGGGAUAACUCAGUUGGGAGAGCGUCAGACUGAAGAUCUGAAGGUCGCGUGUUCGAUCCAUGCUCAACGCA